GACGAACGCUGGCGGCGUGCUUAACACAUGCAAGUCGAACGGAAAAGCCCUGCUUUUGUGGGGUGCUCGAGUGGCGAACGGGUGAGUAACACGUGAGUAACCUGCCCUUGACUUUGGGAUAACUUCAGGAAACUGGGGCUAAUACAGGGUAGAUACUACUGCUGCAUGGUGGGGGUUGGAAAGUUUCGGCGGUUGGGGAUGGACUCGUGGCUGAUCAGCUUGUUGGUGGGGUAGUGGCUUACCAAGGCAUUGACGGGUAGCCGGCCUGAGAGGGUGAGCGGCCACAUUGGGACUGAGAUACGGCCCAGACUCCAACGGGAGGCAGCAGUGGGAAAUAUUGCACAAGGGGCGGAAGCCUGAUGCAGCAACGCCGCGUGCGGGAUAACGGCCUGCGGGUUGUAAACCGCUUUCGCCUGUUACGAAGCGUGAGUGACGGUAAUGGGUAAAGAAGCACCGGCUAACUACGUG
RNAcentral lists this ribosomal RNA (468 nucleotides) under uncultured bacterium. Its description in RNAcentral is "partial 16S ribosomal RNA". It matches the Rfam family "Bacterial small subunit ribosomal RNA", at positions 28 to 507 of the family's 1533-position model. The record is from RNAcentral.